CGGGCCGUCGUAUAAUGGCAGUAUUUGCGCAUGGGGUGCGUAAGGCCCGGGUUCGAUUCCCGGCGGCCCGA
RNAcentral lists this transfer RNA (71 nucleotides) under Patescibacteria group bacterium. RNAcentral describes it as "tRNA-Pro". It matches the Rfam family "tRNA". Rfam says of the family: Transfer RNA (tRNA) molecules are approximately 80 nucleotides in length. The record is from RNAcentral.